CAUAAAAACACGAAGUAUAGAUAAAUUGUAGCAUACGUGUAAGUUGAUAUUAAGUUAACUGUCUGUGUUUUUACCUCAGGUAAACUCAGCAAGCUUUCAAAGUUACUUCAGAUGCUGGCGAUAAGUCUUGAGGUCUGAACAAUUUUACAGGACACCACCAUCGCUAAAAGCAAAGCGGCUCAAUUCUUUAAUGGAGAACAGCAGAGAUGUUGCACAGUAAGGGCAAGAACGCAGUACAAAGACACAAGAAAGUAUGUAAAACUAAAAAAAAAACAUUUAUUUUUAAAACCGAGCUGACUUAAACCACUAUAAUUUAUGACACUUGCAUUACAUGUGAACAGCCCCUACGCUAAUAGGAUUCUGUUUCUCUCUCCCUGUCUCGUCCUCGACCCGAGGACAAUGAGACAAACAGAGACACCAGUUCCUGCUGCUGUGAAGGUCAUCACACCACUGAUCUACUGACCGUCCUUCUACGAGAUGCCCACCCAAUGCCUGACCAGCAACCACCGGCGGAACCAGUUUAAUUCGCUUACCCGUUCACAUACCCCGAUAGUAUUUAUAUAUAUAAAUAUAUAUGUAUCUCUCU
Paramisgurnus dabryanus is the source of this 586-nucleotide non-coding RNA. The record is from RefSeq and is a predicted model, not a curated record. Lineage: Eukaryota; Metazoa; Chordata; Actinopteri; Cypriniformes; Cobitidae.